GAUUAUUCCAUGGUAUUAUAACUAGUUUAUAAUUCAUGGUAUUAUAACUAGUUUUGUUGUUCUGGCAAUGAAAAUUGUUCUUUGCUAACUAUUAAGUCUAUUGUAGAAAUUUUCCAUGUUUUUUUUUUCUUUUGAAAAUUAGUAAUUUCCAUAAGAAUAAUAUUUGUAGCAACAGUAGCUCUGGUAUAAUAUGUAUGAAGCAGUAAAAAGUCAUCUAUGAUGUUUAUUAUAUUUUGGAAAAAAUUUAUGCUUUAUUUAUAGCCGUGAGUUGUUAAUGAGGAUGCUUGAAGUUUUAGUUUUAAAACUACUGCAAAGCUGCAACUGCUUGUUCUGCAGAAAAAAGCUUCUCAACCUUUAAAACCUCAAACCUUGGCUAUUCCUGCCUCAUACUCUGCCAUAGUUGCCUCUUCAAGUUCUUCCCUUUCAAAUGUAACACCUUUCGUAUCUGCAGCUCAGCAUAUCACCACACCACAUGUUAAUCCACUUAGUUUUGCUCCUGGAGUCCUCCUCGGUGGAGUUAAAGUAAAGACUGAAGUUCCAUUCAGGUGGUCUAUUAGA
Parasteatoda tepidariorum (common house spider) is the source of this 558-nucleotide non-coding RNA. The record is from RefSeq and is a predicted model, not a curated record. Lineage: Eukaryota; Metazoa; Arthropoda; Arachnida; Araneae; Theridiidae.